Molecule: ribosomal RNA, 420 nt
Filed under: uncultured archaeon
Lineage: Archaea
Description: partial 16S ribosomal RNA
Rfam family: Archaeal small subunit ribosomal RNA
Source: RNAcentral
GUGCACCAGGCGCGAAACCUCCGCAAUGCGCGAAAGCGUGACGGGGGGACCCCAAGUGUCGCUGGCCUUUUGGUCGGCGGCUUUUCUGGAGUCUAAAAAGCUCCAGGAAUAAGGGCUGGGUAAGUCGGGUGCCAGCCGCCGCGGUAAUACCCGCAGCCCAAGUGGUGGCCGCGUUUAUUGGGCCUAAAGCGUCCGUAGCCGGUUUUGUAAGUUUCUGGGUAAAUCCCACAGCUUAACUGCGGGAAUUCCAGAAAUACUGCAGAGCUAGGGGCCGGGAGACGCAGAAGGUACUCCUGGGGUAGGGGUGAAAUCCUAUAAUCCUAGGGGGACCACCAGUGGCAAAGGCGUUCUGCGAGAACGGGCUCGACGGUGAGGGACGAAAGCCAGGGGCGCAAACGGGAUUAGAUACCCCGGUAGUCC